This 465-nucleotide ribosomal RNA is filed under the name Vreelandella stevensii. Its description in RNAcentral is "partial 16S ribosomal RNA". It matches the Rfam family "Bacterial small subunit ribosomal RNA", at positions 338 to 795 of the family's 1533-position model. The record is from RNAcentral. Lineage: Bacteria; Pseudomonadati; Pseudomonadota; Gammaproteobacteria; Oceanospirillales; Halomonadaceae.
CCUACGGGUGGCAGCAGUGGGGAAUAUUGGACAAUGGGGGGAACCCUGAUCCAGCCAUGCCGCGUGUGUGAAGAAGGCCCUCGGGUUGUAAAGCACUUUCAGUGAGGAAGAACGCCUGGUGGUUAAUACCCAUCAGGAAAGACAUCACUCACAGAAGAAGCACCGGCUAACUCCGUGCCAGCAGCCGCGGUAAUACGGAGGGUGCGAGCGUUAAUCGGAAUUACUGGGCGUAAAGCGCGCGUAGGUGGCUUGAUAAGCCGGUUGUGAAAGCCCCGGGCUCAACCUGGGAACGGCAUCCGGAACUGUCAAGCUAGAGUGCAGGAGAGGAAGGUAGAAUUCCCGGUGUAGCGGUGAAAUGCGUAGAGAUCGGGAGGAAUACCAGUGGCGAAGGCGGCCUUCUGGACUGACACUGACACUGAGGUGCGAAAGAGUGGGUAGCAAACAGGAUUAGAUACCCCGGUAGUC